Non-coding RNA from Vicugna pacos (alpaca), 10191 nucleotides. The record is from RefSeq and is a predicted model, not a curated record. NCBI's taxonomy places the organism in Eukaryota, Metazoa, Chordata, Mammalia, Artiodactyla, Camelidae.
AUCUGUCCACUCCAUGGAGGAAGUCCGUGGAAGAGGCAUCUGUGUAAAUUACCUGUUGUAGGUGAAUUACCGCCCAUACGUCGUGCCAAAAGCUCUAAGGAUACGUGAACAGAGCACUAACAAACACAGAAGGGGGAGCAACUACCUGCCAGCAGGCAGCAGAGGUGCCCUGGGGGAAGGAGCAUGGAGCCAGAUUAAGUUGCCCUUUAGGUAAAAUAUGUUCCUUAGAGAUAAUAAUAAAAUGAUGGCAGCUAAUGCCUAUGUAAUUCUUUCACUAAUGCACAAGAUUCUUAAGUGUUUUACAUAUAUUAUCUCAUUUAAUCCUCUUAGUGUCCAUGUGAAGCAGUACAAUUAUCCCCAUUUUACAGAGAAAGGAACGGACCCAAAGGGAGGUUAAGUGGCUUGCUCGGGGUGGCACAACUCCUAAAUGUCCGUCCUGGGAUGUCAUGCAUGCUUGCUGUGAGGACAUGAAGGCUGAUCCUGCUUCGUCACUGGGCAUCCACUGUGCUCCACUCCACUUUCAUAAUGUGUGAAAGCAUGUGAGUCAGCCCUGACAGGUUCUGUAAAGAGCUGGUUUCACCCUGUUACCCCUGUUGCCUUAUUGGUAAGAUGUCAGCUGUAACAGCAUCCACCAACCUUACCGGGCGAUUAUGAGAGUUAAAUGAGAUAAUUCAGGUACAGUGUUCACCAUAUUGCUUAGCAUAUGGAAAGCAGUGAGCAAAUGUGUGCCAUAACUAGUGUUAUAAUAUAUUUAGCCACACGGAAAUGAGGUCUGGGGUCCCCUGUGACCGGCCUGAGUCCUUCUUCUUCUGGAAGCCUCUGUGGUGGCACAGCUACCUCCAAAAGGAGCGAGUUCCCGGCCGUUGAAAUGGCCCACGACCCAGGUUGCUAGCGUCGUCCCUCAGCUGCCUCUCCAACUGCCAUGGCUGCCUUAGGAAUUUAAAAAUUACUCUUCCCGUUUUAUAUUUCAGCUCAGAAAUCGAUGCAUCUGUGAGGCAGUUUGUUUUCCCGGGGAAGUGUCAGGAGCCCCGCUGGUGGUUUGGAGACGCGCUCCGUUUAGACUCAAUAUUGCCACCCACUCCCUGCGCCGCGGCAGAGAGCAGCCUCAGACGGCUGUGUUCCUUCCCCUCCCACACCGGGGGCUGCAGCCCGGCCGGGCCCCCAGGACUCUGCUCAUCUGCCGGAGGCGGACGUGCUGACUGCCUGCAGCUUGCUUCUGUUUCUUCCUCCCAGGGCGCACAUUUUAGAAAAGCCCCUAAUGUGUCCUUGCCUCCAGGACCUCGGAACUGCACAGAUGCCCCUGUUUCACGCAGCUGUGUUCUGUACCUGCUAAAAACCAGGGCAAGCCUCAUCAUCCCGCAGUUCCCCUUGUCCCCUUGUCGCAGUGGGUCUCCGGGGGAGUGGACCUGCCCUUCUGUGACGGGGGUGAGGCUGUCCUCCUGGGAGGCGGUCCCGCAGUCUCUCUCUCUCUCUGCUUUCCUGGCGGAGGUGGCCUCUGUAUUCCAGAGGUGGUGGGCCUGGCCUGGCACGUUGUUCAACUGGGACAGAGUUGGCUUAUCCUGAAAGUCUUCUUACAGAGCCAUCUUUAGAUUUCAAGAAGGAAGAAUACAGUCCCCCAAAGCACCAAGAGUUACAACAUAUAAAUAGCUUUGCUGAGGGGAACAAAAGUGCCUAUUGUGCGCUGGACUGCAAGGAGAGAUGUAUACUGGGAACUAAGAACAAGAUGCUAGAGAUUUCUUUUCUUUUCUUUCUUUUUUAUCUUAGCUUGAAAAAUUUGUUUUUUCCCCAUAUGAAUUGUGCAUUCACUCUUGGGUCUUGAAACAGAAUAAUUUAGUAAUGUGGGUUCGAAUCCUGGCCCUGUCACCUGGCCCUGUUUGAUUUUAGGCAAAGUAUUUAACUCUGUGCUGCUGCUGCUGCUGCUGCUGCUGCUGCUGCUGCGAAUUUUGUAAUUAAUCUUCUAGGGCAUUUAUGGUGGACAGAAAUCUGUUCUUCUAAGUUAGUCAUCAGUCAUUUAGUGUACCUGAAAAUUUCCUUCUUUAACAGUUAGGGCCAACUUUAGUCAUUAUUUUUACUAUUAACUGUUGCUACCAGGACGUGCCUAGUUUGUGUUUUUUCCAAGUUAAAUAGUUGCGGUCAUAAUCAUCGGUGCCUGAGUUGAUAUUCAAAGCCCUGUGUGUGUGAUUCCAUCCGGGGACAAAUUACUUCCCUUAGGUAUAGUCGGUGUUUCUUCGUCUGUAGAAUAAGGAUAGUAAUACCGCGGUUACAGGCUCGUCGUGAAGAUGACACACGGUAUGCGUAAUAAGAAGAUGGUCCGCUUGGUACCUGUCAUAAAUCUGGGGGCAUCGUGGCUAGUCAGGCAGUGAGACUACUAAGGAACCAAACAGAUUAUCUGUGAUCAUUUCAAAGUCCUCAAGCCCGGGGGUGUAUGUAGGCAAGGUGAGGGGUCAAGGAGGUGGGUGGUCUUCUGUGGCCAGGAGAAAGCAGGUGAAGGGCAGGCAAGGUGAAGAUGAGGGGGAUUCGGAAGCCAAGGCAGACAAAGCAAGGGUCCUGAAGACUUGGUGUGGGGCUGGGCCUGCCCUUCAGGCCACAGCUCCUCGAGUUCUGCCUUUCUGUCUGUGCUCUGUCUUGGUAGCACCUGGCUUUAGGACUUGGUGUUCAGGUGUGGAGAGAAGGUUCUCAGUGUAGCCAAAAGAUAUGCCAUAAGUCGCUUCCCCUGUUUUCAAAUGAAUACCAGUGAAUCAAUUUGCCUGUAUUAAGAAAGACUUGCUUGUCUUACAUAUAAAGAGAGCUGGCCAACCAGAGUGCCAGCAGUGCGGGGUCCCCAGCACUCAUUAAAUACUUACUGAUGGAUUGAUUUGCUUUGGAUCACAUUGGAGUUCACGUCUACUGUUUCAGGAUAAGGGAAAAUGUCCUAUAUGGCUAUUUCUGAUUAUAAUGCUAUUGAGUCUUGGUAAUAUUGGUAGCAUUUAUUGAAAGCUGCCAUGUGUCAGGCAGUGUUCUAAGCCUCCAUGUCAGUUAUUUCAUUUAAUCCUCACAAUACCCUCUGAGUGAGGUACCAUUAUUCGUCCUGUUUUCUGAGUGGACAGUUGGUACCAGUCAGGUGACUCCAGAGCCAUCCAUCGUCUUAAUCAUCCCAAGGGUCCCUAGUCAGAAUAGUUAGUUCCAUCUUCGUGGUGCUUUGGACUAAUGAAUUCUCACCCCAGCACCACGAGGUUAAGGGAAUUCCUUUGUUUGCCAGAUAGUUAUUAUUUCUGUGCUACCAGAAUUGGGCUAGGCAUGGGUUGGAAUAAGGAAUUACUCCAGGAGGCCAAGUCAUUUUCCUGAGUAGGGCUUCUGUCAGAACUGUAAUUUAAAGUUCUAAGUUCAUGGCUUCCAGUCUUGUGCUUGUAAAACAGACACACAUAACUGCAUCUUUUUUUUUUAUGGUUACAUCACAGGAAUGUUUUGCAUUUAUUCAGACACAAGUAGGGUAGAGUGGUAGCUAAUCUGUCUCAGGAUUUGUUGCAAAUUUUAUCAUUUACACAGUUUGUGAUGUAACUGAUUGGGUCUGACUUGGGCCAGCUACUGAAACAAACAAAAUGCUUUCUGACCUUUAGUUUGAAGUUAGGAAUCAGAAUAUGUGUGAAAUCAGCACCCAGGAAUAUGAGUUGGAUAAUAUACUUAAAGUAUAGGCUCUGUUUGGUUGCCCUUGCAUCAAGGAUUUUAGUUCCGAGACUUACACUUGGAUUUCUUGCAAGAAGGCACUCCUUGCCUUCCCUUCCCUGUGGCAGGCUUUAUAUCAUUUUUGGUACCGAGCACCAAAAUCUUCUGGCAGUUUUUUAAUUGAGGUUUUGUAGUUUUAAUGGUCUGGUACUAUAAAAAGCCAGCUUUGUGCCAGAAUUUUUCCAAGACCAGACAUGGGCUUUGACACCACAAUAAAUUAAAGAUAAAUAAAUAAAGAAACAUGGCAGUAAAAAUGUGGGACGCUUUUUUUUGUUUAAUUUUUUUUUUUAAACUAGCAAGUGAGGCCUGCUUGUAAAUUUCAGGCAUGUUUUCUCAGUACUUCAGCUCAGUGUUACAGUGCUUAGCUACAUGAAUCUGUUACUGGGUAACUCCAGAAAGAAUGUUAGACCAAACCAUUAGGAGAUUGGCGAUUUUUUUUCCCCCUUUGAGCAUUAUUGAAAUUUGACAACAUUCUCAUAGUCUCUGCUUUCAUUUAAGGAUUUGGCUAUCAAAAAUAGGGGUAGGCGAAAGGGACCAAGAGAAAGUAAUGACCAAGUGAAUAGUAGUGUUUAAAGUCGCAAGUUGCUACGAUACGGGCUUCACCGUGACCUGGAUGGAUGAGGGCUAAACAGGAUUUGCUUUCCGCAGAAUCUGGUGCCUGUUCCGCCAAUUCUGUUUGCCUGCAGCCUGCCUUGCUGGCCUCCUCCUUUUCCCAGCACCGCUCAUUUCGGUUCUGAGAAACAGCUUCCUCCCAUUACAGGCACCAAUUCAAUUAGGCAGGAGAGAGUGCUGAAGGUUUUUGACGCCAUCAGCUUCUGGUGUGGAGACAGAAGCUCUGUUUGGGAGGACUUUGGGAGAGUGUGGCGAUGUGCAUCUUUGUGGAUUCUGAUCCCUUCUCGAUGUGUGAUUUUCAGAUCAGUUUCUCUCCCUUCUCUCCGUUGAUCUGUCUCCUCCCUCCCUCCUCUUUUCCCUCUCUCUCCCUCACUCUUGCUCUCUCUUCCGUAACACAAAAUGGGGGUGAUGGCACUGACCAAAUCCAAGACCUGCCUUGCUUCCCAAAUACGGCUCAGUCAUUAGGAAGCCGUUAGUCUUUCAGUCACUAAGUAGGGAUAACCCUCUUCUGAGUGUGUGAGUUUGGAAUUUAGUUUGCCCCUGCAAAGACCUGUUUCCUUUUUUCUAAACUGUGUCUUAAAAUUUACAAAAAAGGACUGAACAAGCUUUGAAGCCUCUUAAAAAUAACCCAACAGAAAACUUCCUUCUCUUUCUAUAGUCUACUAAACUUUGUCUAAUUUUAGGCCACCAUGUGGAACUAAGCCUUUAUUGAGGUUUGAAAUGUCAAAAUAAGGAGGGAUUUGUGUAUAUUUUCACUUUUGACUUCAUUUACUGGAAGUGCUGAAGCACCAAGGGUGGGAGGUGGUUUUGGAAGUAUUUCUGAUCUCAAGAGGAAGUUCCAUUAGUCAUCCAUGGUGAUGUCACAUUUGGUAUUCUAAGGAGGCGUAGGCAGUUUCCACUAUGCAUCCUGGCCUUUGACUGCAUACUGGGCCCUAACCUGGAUUUCAAAAUUUGAAUAUUUCUGUUGCUCACACUUCAGAAUGUUAAUACUCAGAUUCUUAUGAUCUUCUGUUAAAUACUUUUCAGAUUGGCCUCAUGUAUUGUUUAAAAUUGGCAGGUGCUGUCAGAAUCCUAUGAUAUGGGAAACCUGUGGCUGUUACCGUUGGGUAUGUCCCCCCCAGACCUACCAUGUAUUUGGUUUGGACCAAUUUAUAAAAUGUUCACGUGCUUGGGAAAAUUUUUUUUUAUCUCUGCUACUCAGAAUAGUUGAGCAGAAAAGUAUAAGGAAAGACGUUUUUCUGUGACUUCCAGUGUGUCUCUUGUGGUCACUGAGUGCUAUGAGAAGGGUCUUUUUCAUUUCCAACUUUUCCACUCUUAGAAGUCUCUUAGGUAGAAUUACGUCUGGGGACAACCAGCACUUACUCUGUCUAGCGUUCUUCUGUCUCCUCCGUGACCCCGUCCCGUCCCCAUCCAGAGGAAGACAGAGUAGCUUCUGAAUGAGAUGUAACAGAAAUAAGUGUGUUCUAAUAGAUGUCAAAAUUAAUAAUUCCUUCUCUCUCCACAAAAGGUGCAGUAGGAGCUUUUCAGUGUUAUUCUGCAAGUGUUUUCUCUGUUAACGGGGCAGAAAAGAGAUGAUAAAGGACCAUCAUCUGUAGUCAGCUGUAUUUUGCUUCUAUCAAAGAUGAUACCCAGAUAUCCUACAUUUCCUGGACAAAUUGCAAAUUCGAGAUAUCCCAGAAACAGGUUUAAUGCAUUUAUUAUUUUAUGAUCUGCACACUUUUCCCUGUAAAAAUUUCCCCAUGAAUGUCCUUGUUGCCAAAAGGCUAACGUCCCGCUCUCAUAGGACUGAUAAUUGUAGGACGGAUUCUUGAGAGUGUGUCUCCUUGUGCUUGCAUUUUCAUUUAGGGCUUUGUCUACGUGCAUCCAAAGUCGGCUUAACUUUUUAACCCAAUUAACUGAUUGGCCCGAUGAAUUUAAUUAAGAGGGGAAGUGCUUGUGCAGAGAGGACCAGCAUUAGUGUAAUGUGGUAGUUAAAAUUAACAAGACUGAUUUGAUUUGAUAAUUAAUUAGAUAAUCUGAUUAACAGAAUAAUUUAGUAUCAGAGACCUGGGUUCAAAUCCAUAUGAGCUAGGUGACCUUGUCGUAAGCAUUUUAAGUGUCAUUUCCCCCCACUUACCAAAAGGGCUUAGUAGCACGUACAUAACUCAUAAGGGUGCCGUGAAAAUUGGUGAAAUCAUUCAUGUGAAGUGCUUAGCACAACACUUGGCUCAAAGUCACUGGUGGACAAAAGUACCUUUUGUUAUGUUCUAGGAUUUUUAGAUACGGAUCCUCGGAAAGACACCGUGUCUCAGAUGGCUGUCAGAUUUCUUUCUGAGUGAACAGAGUCACUUUUUCUGGAGACAUCAGUAGCACAAGCAUCAUAUGGUCUCUGAAUGUUCUCCAUCUUUUUUGCAUUUGAGGCAUUCAUUCCUCUUUUUCUUAUUCACAUCAACUUUAGGUCAUAAUAAUAGGCCCUGUAUUUAAAAAAAUAACAUUUAAUAAUUUCGAUACAACUUAUUUAAUUUUCAUGGAGACCCUGUAAGGUGGAGAUUAGGUCAUAGAAAUGAAGAACUGUAGAGAUGGCAGGAAAGGUGGUGACCUUGACUCUGUUGGCUCAUUUGGUAGGUGCAGGAGCCCUGUGUUCAGGUUCUGGGUGAUAAGUGGCCAAGCAAAUCUGAGUUUGGUGCCCUUUCCACCCCACCAUGCUGAUCACUUCUCUUUUUAAUUAAAAAUGCCCUAUUCCUGGCCCCUUAUUGACAAGUUGCUCAGAGCUCUUAAUUUCUAGGGUUCUCAAAACUGUUUAAUGAGUAUCUUUGGAUUAAAUCCAGAUACUCUGAUGAUAUGCAGCUUCUUACAGCUUCAAAGAUAUCUAAGCAAGUACAGCAUAGAAUCCAUAUCAGUUUCCCAUCGAUUUCCUCUUUUUAAAGUCUUGGCUCUUUUUCUGUAGCCCUCUGAGAAAUCAAUUCUUUAGACCUCUUUCUUUCUGUCACCACCUCUUGUCACAUAUGCUCCUCUGACUGUAGCUGCCACAUGUAAAACCAUGGUAGCUAGGAAUCGAUACUGAAAUAGCUCCAAUUAAUUUCUCUUUGUUCUGCAGUACGGGCUUUACAGGUUCUAGGUAUGCAUUUAGAUUUUCCUUUCCCUUCUAUUACAUGGAAUGGUAAUUUUGUUCAACUGAGAUUCCAUUUUCAAGACUGCUCUGAUCACAGGGCCUUCUGCAAUCAUGAAUAUAUACCCUUGUUAGUUAAUAUUAUCUUAGCCACGUAAGAAAAUGACCAGUACGUGCAACUUGUAUGUGAAACGCACCUCAAAGGACUAUAAAUCUUUCACUUAAAUCUUGAUUUUCUUGAAUCCUUUGUAUUUCAAGUUCUAACCUGUCAUUUACUCCCAUGAACAAUUUUGUUCUCCUGACCUUUCUUCCAUACUCUCCUCUGUACCUCUGCCUUUUUCUUAUUUUUGGUUAUAUUAUGUCACUAAAUGUUAAAAAAUUAAAAAAAUAUAUUGCCUUAUCUAUAUUAUCUGUACUUAAACAUUUUACUUUAGUAUUAGAUUUAUGAAUUCUUUUAUUUCCUGACAGUUUUAGCCUAUUCAAAGGUGGUGCUUAUUUUCUGUGAAUGUUCUGUAAUUUGCCAUUCUAUGAAAGACUUAGUGAACAUUUACAUUUAAUUAGCAGCAGUUUUUUUUUUAGAACCAUAAGAUACAUCUCUUUUAAAUGCUAUUUCUUUACAGUAUUACUUCAGAGACUAGAAAUUCAUUUGCAGUUUUUAUUAACCUAGUUUUAGUUGUCAGAAAAAAUACACGUAUAAAUAAAGCAGAGUGACAUACUCUAACAGUUUUUAAUGAGCCUGGUUUUUCUUACGGAGUAACUUGAAUUUUUCUGUAACAGAGACUUGAUCUUUCUGGAUAGAUUUUGCUUUAUUUGUCCAGAAGUGGAUUCCAAUUUUGCUAAUAUUAAUUUGAAAGUGUAUUUAAAACUCUCUAGCUCACAUUUUUAUAAACUUUUAAUUUGACAAAGAAAAUUAAAUUUUCUUUGGGGGUGUGUUCUUUUGUGUGUAGGUGCUAUUGGUGGGUUUAAGAGAAAUUUAAUGGUAUCUUUUGAGAAAGUUGUAGCUGUACUGAAAGUCUAGCGUUAGGAAUCAAUACCUAACACUUGAUUUGGACAAGAAAUUUGUGUAAAUUUUAUAGAGGAUUUUAGCAGUGCUAAAAAAAUGUACGUUCCCCAAGGCAGUAUUCAGUACUGUGUGGUAAGCUCCUAGAUCUGUGGACCGUGGGACUGUUACUCAAGUUAAAGGACCCUUCACUUGAACUAGGUAAAAGCUAGUUUGAGAUAAAUUUGGAAAAUAUCUAGAAUUGAGAAUAUAUAUGCCUUUGGUUUUCUCUGUUGCUACUGAAGAUACAAUUUAUUGCGUUCUUAGUGUAGAGCAAGUUUUAUAGGCAAUAUGAUUGGCCAGUGGUAUUUUAUUUCAGAGCUGAUGCUAAUAUAUAGGAGAUUACGGUAUUUGUUGUUUGUUUUAUCAGCAUGCUUAAUUUUUUAGGGGUAGCUGUAUGCAGAAUGCGUAUUUGCUAUCCAAACGAGUUAACGGGCUUACAACUGGAGGGUGUAAAUUCUAGUAUCUGUAUUUCCCAGCUUGCAGCAGUGUUGUCUGAAGCCUGAAACGGCUGAUGUUAAUCUUCAGUUUGUUUUGUUGCUUUCCAAAAAUUAAGUUGAAGUGAAAUAAAAUGUGAUGUAAAUCAGUUUCUCGGCUUAAUAAUAACAAUACUAAUAGUAAAAUAUAAAGUGGAAUUUCCUGUAUGUCAGAACUGUUUACAAACUUUGAAGGAGUGUGUGUGUGUGUGCGUGUGUACACAUGUGUGUGUGUGUGUGUUCAGUUGAAUAGGGGAAGCAGUAAAUUGCUGGCUUUUAAUCAAAUUGAUGAAUUUUGAAUUUCUACUUCUGUGGUAGUUCUGCCUUAAAUUCAUUUGGCUGAUUUGAUAGCGGUAUUUGGAAUGCAAGGAAGAGAUAAGGAUUUGGACGUUGUAGUUAUAAUAUCCCAGAAGAAUUUCAUUGCUUAUUGGCUAGAAACUCAGAGUUCCCACAGAGUUGUAGAUGGUGCGAUUUGGCAUGUACUUUUACUUACCCUCAUUCUUCACAGUCAAAGAUUUAUAGCUCAGAAGGAGUCUGUAGGUAGAGAAGGAUUUAAAGAAUGGCUGUCUUAAUAUUGCGUGGUUUGGCUAAGAAACCUUAUUAUUCUGUGUAUUGUGCGUCCUAGACUUGCCUAGAAACAGCAGACUUCGACUAUUCCCACUUCAAGUGGAAUAAAUAGGCAGAGCCGGGCCAGGAAAAGCCAAUGAAGGAGCCACAAGGCAAUUCAUUAACCCAUUUGAAGACAUUUUCAGGCAACUUGUUAAGCUUCAAAGGUCAAAGUGACCAACAUUGAAUUCAUCACGGGAAAAAAUUCUGGUAGCAGAACAGAGUUAGCCAACUUGACCUUUAAUACUUAACAAGUUGUCUUAAAAUGUUUUUAUUCAAUCUGGACACUUUGCUAACGUGAUUCAUCUUCUAAUCUAUGUAAAUGUGACUUUUAAGUCCUAUUGGAUUUUACGUAAGGGCUUAAUGCGAUGGACUUUGGAGCAGGUAGCCCAGAGUUUGUGACGGCUGUGCCCUGCUGUGUGUCCUGUCCCAGUCACAGGGCAGGUGACCCCUGCAAGGAGGACAGAGUGAGAAAGUUCCAGGGUCUCUGACCGAGAAGUCACACAAAAUCAGUGGCUGUGCUGUUGUGAAUCUUCUCUGGCUGGAAGCUGAGCACGGGCUUUGGGCUUUUUCACCUUUUGUGUGUCUCUGCCUGCUGCACCCUCCCCUCUCUCAGGGUUGCAGCAGUGGCCCCUGCAGGCAGGUCCCCGAGCCAGGGCGCGGGGCGC